GACGAACGCUGGCGGCGUGCUUAACACAUGCAAGUCGAGCGGAAAGGCCACUUCGGUGGUACUCGAGCGGCGAACGGGUGAGUAACACGUGAGUAAUCUGCCCCUGGCUUUGGGAUAGCCACCGGAAACGGUGAUUAAUACCGGAUAUGACGACUUCUCGCAUGAGUUGUUGUGGAAAGUUUUUCGGCCAGGGAUGUGCUCGCGGCCUAUCAGCUUGAUGGUGAGGUAAUGGCUCACCAUGGCUUCGACGGGUAGCCGGCCUGAGAGGGUGACCGGCCACACUGGGACUGAGACACGGCCCAGACUCCUACGGGAGGCAGCAGUGGGGAAUAUUGGACAAUGGGCGGAAGCCUGAUCCAGCAACGCCGCGUGAGGGAUGACGGCCUUCGGGUUGUAAACCUCUUUCAGCAGGGACGAAGCGCAAGUGACGGUACCUGCAGAAGAAGCACCGGCCAACUACGUG
Molecule: ribosomal RNA, 463 nt
Filed under: uncultured organism
Description: bacterial SSU rRNA
Rfam family: Bacterial small subunit ribosomal RNA
Source: RNAcentral